Molecule: ribosomal RNA, 497 nt
Filed under: uncultured bacterium
Lineage: Bacteria
Description: partial 16S ribosomal RNA
Rfam family: Bacterial small subunit ribosomal RNA
Source: RNAcentral
GAUGAACGCUGGCGGCGUGCCUAAUACAUGCAAGUCGAGCGAACGGACGAGAAGCUUGCUUCUCUGAUGUUAGCGGCGGACGGGUGAGUAACACGUGGAUAACCUACCUAUAAGACUGGGAUAACUUCGGGAAACCGGAGCUAAUACCGGAUAAUAUUUUGAACCGCAUGGUUCAAAAGUGAAAGACGGUCUUGCUGUCACUUAUAGAUGGAUCCGCGCUGCAUUAGCUAGUUGGUAAGGUAACGGCUUACCAAGGCAACGAUGCACAGCCGACCUGAGAGGGUGAUCGGCCACACUGGAACUGAGGCACGGUCCAGACUCCUACGGGAGGCAGCAGUAGGGAAUCUUCCGCAAUGGGCGAAAGCCUGACGGAGCAACGCCGCGUGAGUGAUGAAGGUCUUCGGAUCGUAAAACUCUGUUAUUAGGGAAGAACAUAUGUGUAAGUAACUGUGCACAUCUUGACGGUACCUAAUCAGAAAGCCACGGCUAACUACGUG